AUGAUGUCAGCUAACUUUUGUCCUGUGACCAUAUUUAACUGUCGUGUCUCUGUUAGCAGCACACACAUUGUGCUCAGAAGCGAAGCAACAAGUGUAAGAGGCCAAAUUACCUCUCAAAUUUAUUACAGGUUGAUUUCUCCCAGCAAACCCACUCCAAAGCCACGUACAGAUAACACCACUAGCAUAGGAAGCUGGUUUGGAAACCAGCCCUCCCAUGGCACUGUCAGAGGAGUACCAAGAGGCUGCAAACCUCCCAUCGGCUGCCACGCGAGGGCUGUGACACCCCCUCCUUCAGCUGCUGAGGAACUCAAUCUGUGUUGGCAAUGCCUUUCAGAACCAAGCCACAUUCACUUUUCCAUAAGAGAUCCCAGCUUCAAUGAAAAAUCAUUUCUGGAGGAAAAACGUCCUGCUGGAAAAUAGUGACCAACUCUCACAAUCAUGGCUGAAAAUCCAAACACACCCAGACGUGCUGUAAGCCCUUGUUAUCUUUGGGGCAGCCUGAGUUUUUGUGGCGUCCCCAUGUGACAGCACUUUGAAUGGAGGAAGGUGAGGUGAGAGCAUGUGUAGGGGGUUUCUCUGCUCGGCCCUGCAAGAAUGCCUCCUCCCUCCACCCCCAGAAAGACCACGUUGCCUCCCAGUUCCCUGCUCUACCACCUCACCCCCAGUUUACCCUCUUGUCAUUUCCUCUUGCCCUCUUCCCGCCGUAUCACGUUUCCAGUUCAGAAUCUGUAGAUCCACAAUUGUUUAAAAAGCAGCUCAAACUUCCAACUUAUAAACAUCGCUUCCUCUGUCUCCUGAAUUUAUUUUAAUAGCUGAUAUUUGAGCCCAGGGGAUUGUUUUAACUAACACUGUAUAGUCAGAAGGAAUCACUUUCCUCCAGGCUACCUCUAGGUCAAUAGCAUAAGGCAAGACCCCCUCACAUUUCAUUACCCAGGGAUCAGAUCCCCUUUCCCAAUCCAUCACUCUGAAGCUCGUUCCUCCUGUUCCUCUCAGAUUUGCCCGAAUGAUUCAUGCAGUGCCAAAUCAACAGUAUAUUUGCUUUUUUCUCAGUUCAUUGUUUUUAUUUGCUUACAUGUUCCCUGUCGUAGUUCAACUCAUAAAUCAAUGCUGGUUUAUUUUCUACAAACCCGUUGAAAGUUUGAGCCAGUUUCCACUGUUAUGAAAGACUCCCAAUACUACACGUCCUUUAACAGGUGGAAAAUGUCUUAAGAGGCUGUUUGGAUGGGAACGAUUUUCUAACUUAAGGACAAAGUAGUAUUUAUUUAUGACUUAAUCUAAUUCCAAAACAAAGUAACAGUUCCCUGCACCGAAUUAUC
Cairina moschata (Muscovy duck) is the source of this 1316-nucleotide long non-coding RNA. NCBI's taxonomy places the organism in Eukaryota, Metazoa, Chordata, Aves, Anseriformes, Anatidae. The record is from Ensembl.